UAUUCGGAGAGUUUGAUCCUGGCUCAGGAUGAACGCUGGCGGCGUGCCUAACACAUGCAAGUCGAGCGGAGCCGUGAGGGAGCUUGCUC
This 89-nucleotide non-coding RNA is filed under the name Carboxydocella thermautotrophica DSM 16521. Its description in RNAcentral is "Carboxydocella sporoproducens DSM 16521 Bacterial small subunit ribosomal RNA". It matches the Rfam family "Bacterial small subunit ribosomal RNA", at positions 1 to 85 of the family's 1533-position model. The record is from Rfam by way of RNAcentral. Lineage: Bacteria; Bacillati; Bacillota; Clostridia; Eubacteriales; Clostridiales Family XVI. Incertae Sedis.